Molecule: ribosomal RNA, 589 nt
Filed under: Stumpffia nigrorubra
Lineage: Eukaryota; Metazoa; Chordata; Amphibia; Anura; Microhylidae
Description: partial 16S ribosomal RNA
Rfam family: Bacterial large subunit ribosomal RNA (bases 10-126)
Source: RNAcentral
GUUUGACCCCCCGAAACUAAGCGAGCUACUCUAAAACAGCCCACAGAGCCAACCCAUCCCUGUUACAAAAGGGUGGAAAGAUUUUAAAGUAGAGGUGACACACCAAUCGAGCCUAGAGAUAGCUGGUUAUUCAAAAGACGGAUCUAAGUCCAACUUUAAGCUUCUAUAAGUGGCACAAACAACCCACAAACUUAAAAGCCAUUCAAAUAAGGUACAGCCUAUUUGAACAAGGAGACAACCUAUGACAUAGGGUAACGACCACCACACGUGACCAAGUGGGCCUAAAAGCAGCCAACUUCUAAAAGGCGUCCAAGCCUUACCACACCUACUAUCAAUUUCUCUAUCCAUCCACAACCCACAACCAAUAAUGAAUGACCCCAUACCCAUAUGGAAGACACCAUGCUAGAACUAGUAACAAGAAGACGAACUUCUCCAAAAUGCAAACAUAGGCCAAAAUGAACCCUCACCGGCACUUACCGCACCACAACAUAGUACCAACUACACAAGAAUACCCUACUACAUUAAACGUCAACCUUACACAAGAGCACUCCUGGAAAGAUUAAAAGGGGGGGAAGGAACUCGGCAAACA